CCUACGGGAGGCAGCAGGGAGGAAUAUUGGGCAAUGGGCGCGAGCCUGAAGGAGCAAAGGAGCGGGAAGGAUGAAGGCCCUACGGGUGGUAAACUUCGUUUAUAAAGGAAUAAAGUGAGGCACGUGUGCCUUUUUGCAUGUACGUUAUGAAUAAGGAUCGGCUAACUCCGUGCCAGCAGCCGCGGUGAUACGGAGGGUCCGAGCUUUACCCGGCUUUAUUGGGUUGAAAGGGUGCGUAGAGGGGUUGUUAAGUCAGUUGUGAAAGUUUGCGGCUCAACCGUAAAGUUGCAAUUGAUACUGGGAGUCUUGAGUACAGUUGAGGUAGGCGGAAUUCGUGGUGUAGCGGUGAAAUGCUUAGAUAUCACGAAGAACUCCGAUUGCGAAGGCAGCUUACUAGACUGCAACUGACAUUGAUGCUCGAAAGUGUGGGUAUCAAACAGGAUUAGAUACCCCUGUAGUC
Molecule: ribosomal RNA, 460 nt
Filed under: uncultured bacterium
Lineage: Bacteria
Description: partial 16S ribosomal RNA
Rfam family: Bacterial small subunit ribosomal RNA
Source: RNAcentral